AGCAGCCGCGGUAAUUCCAGCUCCAAUAGCGUAUAUUAAAGUUGUUGCAGUUAAAAAGCUCGUAGUUGAAUUUCGGGAUCAGUACGCUGGUCGUGCCUUUGGUAUGUACUGGUGUCACUGAUUCCUCCCUUCUGAAGAACCGUUAUGCCAUUUAUUUGGUGUGGCGGGAAAUCAGGACUGUUACUUUGAAAAAAUUAGAGUGUUUAAAGCAGGCUCGCGCUUGAAUACAUUAGCAUGGAAUAAUGAAAUAGGACGUUUGAUCUUAUUUUGUUGGUUUCUAGGAUCGACGUAAUGAUUAAUAGGGAUAGUUGGGGGCAUUAGUAUUCAAUUGUCAGAGGUGAAAUUCUUGGAUUUAUUGAAGACUAACUACUGCGAAAGCAUUUGCCAAGGAUGUUUUCAUUAAUCAAGAACGAAAGUUAGGGGAUCGAAGACGAUCAGAUACCGUCGUAGUCUUAACCAUAAACUAUGCCGACUAGGGAUCGGAUGAUGUUAAUUUUUAAUGACUCAUUUCGGCGUA
RNAcentral lists this ribosomal RNA (517 nucleotides) under uncultured Glomus. Its description in RNAcentral is "SSU rRNA". It matches the Rfam family "Eukaryotic small subunit ribosomal RNA", at positions 569 to 1087 of the family's 1831-position model. Lineage: Eukaryota; Fungi; Glomeromycota; Glomeromycetes; Glomerales; Glomeraceae. The record is from RNAcentral.